This 24-nucleotide non-coding RNA is filed under the name Arabidopsis thaliana (thale cress). The record is from RNAcentral. Lineage: Eukaryota; Viridiplantae; Streptophyta; Magnoliopsida; Brassicales; Brassicaceae.
AAUAAGGGCUCUUAGCAGCGUAGU